Cervus elaphus (red deer) is the source of this 1762-nucleotide long non-coding RNA. RefSeq lists it as uncharacterized. The transcript has 3 exons. Lineage: Eukaryota; Metazoa; Chordata; Mammalia; Artiodactyla; Cervidae. The record is from RefSeq and is a predicted model, not a curated record.
CAGCCGAACUCGUUGACUACUCCGUUUCCUCCCAGGCGGCCGUCGGUUCACUUCCUGCUUGUCCAACUUUCAGCCCGCCCCCGCCCACCUCGCGUCCCAGCGGCUCCGGCCACACCUCGCUCAGGUUCUCCAGGUGCUGAUCCUGACCUCAGAGGGUGGUGGUAUGGAGUAAAAGAAAAGCUUACGCCAUGUACCUAGCACAGCCUGGAACAAAGGGCUGCCCACUGCUCCAAUCAGGAAAUGCUGGGUCACCAACUCUCCUAUUCUAGAGUUCAACCGUCCUGCACGUCCCUUCGGGGGCCACCUCGAGUGUUAGGGAACCCCAACAGAAAUGAGCAAAUGACUGCCCUCUUGACCAGAGAGGGGGCCCAGGGCAAAGGAUUUUUCCACUGACCUGGCUGCAGGCCAGAGAAAAUCCACCCUUCCCGGAUGGUGUUUAUCAAGACAGAAGAACAAUAACAGACCCGUUCAGAAGGAAACAAACAUUCCUGUCCCAUCCCAGAAGUAACAGUUCCAAGAGGGAAAUGGCAGCUUCUCUUGACAAAUGCUUUUUUUUUUUUUUUUUGACAAACACUUUUUUAAAGAGCUUAGUAAACUUUGGACAUCCGUAGCAUUUGGAGACCCUUUAUUCUAGCUUCCCAGGUGGUGCUAGUGGUAAGGGACCCAUCUGCCAAUGCAGGGGACAGAAAGAGAUGCAGGUUCCAUCGCUCUGUCAUAAUAUCCCCUGGAGGAGGGCAUGGCAACCCACUCUGGUAUUCUUGCCUGGAGAAUCCCAUGGACAGAGGAACCUGAUGGGCUACAGUCCACGAUCUGCAAAGAGUCACACACGACUGAAGUGACUUUGCAUGCACGCACCUGAAUUUUGGUGGAUAGUAUCAGCCUGCUUUCACAGAGAACGUGGUACCCCACUCCUCAUCAUUCUUAGAAAGGCAACAAUGAAGCCAAGCAGAGUACUUGUGAGACCAGAUUUCCUUCAUAUACUUCAAUCACAACAGAUGGAAUGCAGAAACAGAAAUGAGAAUCCAGCUUUCUUCAAUUAAGCCAGGCAUUAAAGAGAUCUGCAUGUAAAACAAUCCUAUUCUCAUAUAUUUUUUAGUGUGGAAAAUAUAUUUUUUCAUAAAAAUGUUAUUGAUGUAAACAUGUAAUGGGUUCAUUACUUUUUUUCCUUUUAGUGAAUCAAUGCAUAUUUCAAACAUUUCUCAGGGUAAAUUUCCAAGAGGGUAAAUAUGGAAAAAUAUAACUUAUUAUUCAUAAAAAGCUCUUUAGGGUUCUCAAUAAUGUAUGUAGCAACGUAAAGGGGUCCUGAGACUAAAAAGUGUGAGAACCCCUGCACUAAGAUGCCUUCCUCGGAUCCUGCUUGUCAAUUCCAAGGCAGAGAAACAAUGUUACAAAGCUGUUCAAGACUCACCUUACCCAACCAAACACACUCUAUUCACUAUCCCUACUCUGCAUUCUUUCUGCAGUCAGGUCGUUCCGGUUUUCCUGCUGCUUUCAAACCUCUGGUUCCAGGCCGGGACAGCCCUCCCAGGUGCAUCCUCAACUGGGCUGGAAACUCUUCUGGGAAGAGUCUGACUUUUGCGCCCGCACUGUUCACACAUCUGCAGCGACCUAACAGGGGCGGGAAGGGACCCAGAGAGGUCGUGGGCGCCCAGAGUCUUCUUUAGGUUGAUAGAACGGAGAGGGCUCGGGAGGCCUCAGGGACGAGACUUGACAGAAAAAGAGACAGGUCCGCGUACACCUUCACUCCUCGGUCACCAGAGAA